RNAcentral lists this transfer RNA (74 nucleotides) under Syntrophobacteraceae bacterium. Its description in RNAcentral is "tRNA-Ile". It matches the Rfam family "tRNA". Rfam says of the family: Transfer RNA (tRNA) molecules are approximately 80 nucleotides in length. Their secondary structure includes four short double-helical elements and three loops (D, anti-codon, and T loops). Further hydrogen bonds mediate the characteristic L-shaped molecular structure. tRNAs have two regions of fundamental functional importance: the anti-codon, which is responsible for specific mRNA codon recognition, and the 3' end, to which the tRNAs corresponding amino acid is attached (by aminoacyl-tRNA synthetases). tRNAs cope with the degeneracy of the genetic code in two manners: having more than one tRNA (with a specific anti-codon) for a particular amino acid; and 'wobble' base-pairing, i.e. permitting non-standard base-pairing at the 3rd anti-codon position. Lineage: Bacteria; Pseudomonadati; Thermodesulfobacteriota; Syntrophobacteria; Syntrophobacterales; Syntrophobacteraceae. The record is from RNAcentral.
AGUCCGGUAGCUCAACAGGUUAGAGCGGUUGCUCUAUAAGCGAAGGGUUGCAGGUUCAACUCCUGUCCGGACUA